This is a transfer RNA of Candida albicans SC5314, 71 nucleotides long. It matches the Rfam family "tRNA". Rfam says of the family: Transfer RNA (tRNA) molecules are approximately 80 nucleotides in length. Lineage: Eukaryota; Fungi; Ascomycota; Pichiomycetes; Serinales; Debaryomycetaceae. The record is from Rfam.
ACGUCAGUGGUUUAAGGGUAAAAUUCUUGCUUCCCAAGCAAGGGCUCCGGGUUCGAGUCCCGGCUGGCGUA